RNAcentral lists this ribosomal RNA (1206 nucleotides) under uncultured bacterium. RNAcentral's name for it is "partial 16S ribosomal RNA". The record is from RNAcentral.
ACCGGCUUUUUGGGAUUCGCUCCACCUUACGGUAUCGCAGCCCUCUGUACCGGCCAUUGUAGCAUGCGUGAAGCCCAAGACAUAAGGGGCAUGAUGAUUUGACGUCAUCCCCACCUUCCUCCGAGUUGACCCCGGCAGUCUCCCAUGAGUCCCCGGCAUAACCCGCUGGCAACAUAGGACGAGGGUUGCGCUCGUUGCGGGACUUAACCCAACAUCUCACGACACGAGCUGACGACAACCAUGCACCACCUGUGUACGAGUGUCCAAAGAGAACCCCGUCUCGGGGGCUUUCUCGUACAUGUCAAGCCUUGGUAAGGUUCUUCGCGUUGCAUCGAAUUAAUCCGCAUGCUCCGCCGCUUGUGCGGGCCCCCGUCAAUUCCUUUGAGUUUUAGCCUUGCGGCCGUACUCCCCAGGCGGGGCACUUAAUGCGUUAGCUGCGGCACGGAACUCGUGGAAUGAGCCCCACACCUAGUGCCCAACGUUUACGGCAUGGACUACCAGGGUAUCUAAUCCUGUUCGCUCCCCAUGCUUUCGCUCCUCAGCGUCAGUUGCGGCCCAGAGACCUGCCUUCGCCAUCGGUGUUCCUCCUGAUAUCUGCGCAUUCCACCGCUACACCAGGAAUUCCAGUCUCCCCUACCGCACUCUAGUCUGCCCGUACCCGAUGCAAGCCCGAGGUUGAGCCUCGGGAUUUCACACCAGACGCGACAGACCGCCUACGAGCUCUUUACGCCCAAUAAUUCCGGACAACGCUUGCGCCCUACGUAUUACCGCGGCUGCUGGCGCGUAGUUAGCCGGCGCUUCUUCUGCAGGUACCGUCACUUGCGCUUCUUCCCUGCUGAAAGAGGUUUACAACCCGAAGGCCGUCAUCCCUCACGCGGCGUCGCUGCAUCAGGCUUGCGCCCAUUGUGCAAUAUUCCCCACUGCUGCCUCCCGUAGGAGUCUGGGCCGUGUCUCAGUCCCAGUGUGGCCGGUCGCCCUCUCAGGCCGGCUACCCGUCGACGCCUUGGUAGGCCAUCACCCCACCAACAAGCUGAUAGGCCGCGAGCCCAUCCCCCACCGAAAAACUUUCCAACCCACACCAUGCGAUGCGAGCUCAUAUCCGGUAUUAGACCCCGUUUCCAAGGCUUAUCCCAAAGUGGAGGGCAGGUUGCUCACGUGUUACUCACCCGUUCGCCACUGAUCCACCCAGCAAGCUGGGCUUCACCG